Molecule: ribosomal RNA, 253 nt
Filed under: uncultured bacterium
Lineage: Bacteria
Description: partial 16S ribosomal RNA
Rfam family: Bacterial small subunit ribosomal RNA
Source: RNAcentral
UACGUAGGGACCGAGCGUUGUCCGGAUUCAUUGGGCGUAAAGAGCUCGUAGGCGGCCACUCAAGUCGAAUGUGAAACCUCGAGGCUUAACCUCGAGCCUGCAUUCGAUACUGGGCGGCUAGAGUCUGGUAGGGGGAUCUGGAAUUCCUGGUGUAGCGGUGGAAUGCGCAGAUAUCAGAAGGAACACCCGUGGCGAAGGCGGCUCCCUGGUCCGUUUCUGACGCUGAGACGCGAAAGCGCGGGGAGCGAACGGG